This 24-nucleotide non-coding RNA is filed under the name Arabidopsis thaliana (thale cress). Lineage: Eukaryota; Viridiplantae; Streptophyta; Magnoliopsida; Brassicales; Brassicaceae. The record is from RNAcentral.
ACGUCAUGGAGAUUUUGCCCUGGU